Molecule: transfer RNA, 67 nt
Filed under: Marmota monax (woodchuck)
Lineage: Eukaryota; Metazoa; Chordata; Mammalia; Rodentia; Sciuridae
Description: tRNA.Ala
Source: RNAcentral
GGUUAUGGCUCAGGGGUACAGCGCUCGCCUAGCAUGUGUAAGGCACUGGGUUCAAUUCUCAGCACCA